Molecule: unclassified non-coding RNA, 221 nt
Filed under: fungal sp.
Lineage: Eukaryota; Fungi
Description: partial internal transcribed spacer region
Rfam family: Eukaryotic small subunit ribosomal RNA (bases 1-46)
Source: RNAcentral
AAGUCGUAACAAGGUUUCCGUAGGUGAACCUGCGGAAGGAUCAUUAAUAAUUAAUUAAUAGCCCUCUAGUCGCAAGACAAACAGGUGCUGUUAUUUAUUGUGAACUGGUGGAUCAAGUCUGUCAAAGGAUUUGUUCCAUGCAAUUAUUGUACUUUAGUAUUUUUUUUAUAAAAAAGUUGAAUUAAAAAUGACAACUUUCAGCAAUGGAUCUCUUGGCUCUU